RNAcentral lists this unclassified non-coding RNA (231 nucleotides) under uncultured Amanitaceae. Its description in RNAcentral is "sequence contains ITS1". The record is from RNAcentral. Lineage: Eukaryota; Fungi; Basidiomycota; Agaricomycetes; Agaricales; Amanitaceae.
CUGAACGAAAUGGGUGGCAAGGCUGUCGCUGGCUUGAAUGAGCAUGUGCACGUCUUUUUGCCACUUACUUCAUUCUCUCUUCCACCUGUGCACUCUUUGUAGACACUUGGGAUGUGAUGGCAUUGAUUGUCGGACUUCUCUCCUGGGUGUUUAUGUAUUUUUUUGACAUACACGGUUGAAUGUCUAUAGAAUGAAAUUAUAGGCUCUUGUCAGCCUUUAAAUGAUAAAAUA